RNAcentral lists this ribosomal RNA (2888 nucleotides) under Streptococcus pneumoniae. Its description in RNAcentral is "23S ribosomal RNA". It matches the Rfam family "Bacterial large subunit ribosomal RNA". The record is from RNAcentral. Lineage: Bacteria; Bacillati; Bacillota; Bacilli; Lactobacillales; Streptococcaceae.
UUAAGUUAAUAAGGGCGCACGGUGGAUGCCUUGGCACUAGGAGCCGACGAAGGACGUGACAAACGACGAUAUGCCUUGGGUAGCUGUAAGUAAGCGAUGAUCCAGGGAUUUCCGAAUGGGGGAACCCAACAGGUANACAUCUGUUAAGGAUGUGAGGAGGAAGACGCAGUGAACUGAAACAUCUAAGUAGCUGCAGGAAGAGAAAGCAAAAGCGAUUGCCUUAGUAGCGGCGAGCGAAACGGCAGAAGGGCAAACCGAAGAGUUUACUCUUCGGGGUUGUAGGACUGCAAUGUGGACUCAAAGAUUAUAGAAGAAUGAUUUGGGAAGAUCAGCCAAAGAGAGUAAUAGCCUCGUAUUUAAAAUAGUCUUUGUACUUAGCAGUAUCCUGAGUACGGCGGGACACGUGAAAUCCCGUCGGAAUCUGGGAGGACCAUCUCCCAACCCUAAAUACUCCCUAGUGACCGAUAGUGAACCAGUACCGUGAGGGAAAGGUGAAAAGCACCCCGGGAGGGGAGUGAAAUAGAACCUGAAACCGUGUGCCUACAACAAGUUCGAGCCCGUUAAUGGGUGAGAGCGUGCCUUUUGUAGAAUGAACCGGCGAGUUACGUUAUGAUGCGAGGUUAAGUUGAAGAGACGGAGCCGUAGGGAAACCGAGUCUGAAUAGGGCGCCUUAGUAUCAUGACGUAGACCCGAAACCAUGUGACCUACCCAUGAGCAGGUUGAAGGUGCGGUAAGACGCACUGGAGGACCGAACCAGGGCACGUUGAAAAGUGCUUGGAUGACUUGUGGGUAGCGGAGAAAUUCCAAACGAACUUGGAGAUAGCUGGUUCUCUCCGAAAUAGCUUUAGGGCUAGCGUCGACAUUAGAGAUUCUUGGAGGUAGAGCACUGUUUGGGUGAGGGGUCCAUCCCGGAUUACCAAUCUCAGAUAAACUCCGAAUGCCAAUGAAUUAUGGUCGGCAGUCAGACUGCGAGUGCUAAGAUCCGUAGUCGAAAGGGAAACAGCCCAGACCACCAGCUAAGGUCCCAAAAUAAUUGUUAAGUGGAAAAGGAUGUGGGGUUGCACAGACAACUAGGAUGUUAGCUUAGAAGCAGCUAUUCAUUCAAAGAGUGCGUAAUAGCUCACUAGUCGAGUGACCCUGCGCCGAAAAUGUACCGGGGCUAAAACAAUUUACCGAAGCUGUGGAUACCUUUAUAGGUAUGGUAGGAGAGCGUUCUAUGUGUGAUGAAGGUAUACCGUGAGGAGUGCUGGAACGCAUAGAAGUGAGAAUGCCGGUAUGAGUAGCGAAAGACAGGUGAGAAUCCUGUCCACCGUAAGACUAAGGUUUCCAGGGGAAGGCUCGUCCGCCCUGGGUUAGUCGGGACCUAAGGAGAGACCGAAAGGUGUAUCCGAUGGACAACAGGUUGAUAUUCCUGUACUAGAGUAUGUAGUGAUGGAGGGACGCAGUAGGCUAACUAAAGCAGACGAUUGGAAGAGUCUGUCUAAGCAGUGAGGUGUGAAUUGAGUCAAAUGCUUAAUUCUAUAACAUUGAGCUGUGAUGGGGAGCGAAGUUUAGUAGCGAAGUUAGUGACGUCACACUGCCAAGAAAAGCUUCUAGCGUUUAAACAUACUCUACCCGUACCGCAAACCGACACAGGUAGUCGAGGCGAGUAGCCUCAGGUGAGCGAGAGAACUCUCGUUAAGGAACUCGGCAAAAUGACCCCGUAACUUCGGGAGAAGGGGUGCUGACUUAAAGUCAGCCGCAGUGAAUAGGCCCAAGCAACUGUUUAUCAAAAACACAGCUCUCUGCUAAAUCGUAAGAUGAUGUAUAGGGGGUGACGCCUGCCCGGUGCUGGAAGGUUAAGAGGAGUGCUUAGCGUAAGCGAAGGUAUGAAUUGAAGCCCCAGUAAACGGCGGCCGUAACUAUAACGGUCCUAAGGUAGCGAAAUUCCUUGUCGGGUAAGUUCCGACCCGCACGAAAGGCGUAAUGAUUUGGGCACUGUCUCAACGAGAGACUCGGUGAAAUUUUAGUACCUGUGAAGAUGCAGGUUACCCGCGACAGGACGGAAAGACCCCAUGGAGCUUUACUGCAGUUUGAUAUUGAGUGUCUGUACCACAUGUACAGGAUAGGUAGGAGUCUAAGAGAUCGGGACGCCAGUUUCGAAGGAGACGCUGUUGGGAUACUACCCUUGUGUUAUGGCCACUCUAACCCAGAUAGGUGAUCCCUAUCGGAGACAGUGUCUGACGGGCAGUUUGACUGGGGCGGUCGCCUCCUAAAAGGUAACGGAGGCGCCCAAAGGUUCCCUCAGAAUGGUUGGAAAUCAUUCGCAGAGUGUAAAGGUAUAAGGGAGCUUGACUGCGAGAGCUACAACUCGAGCAGGGACGAAAGUCGGGCUUAGUGAUCCGGUGGUUCCGUAUGGAAGGGCCAUCGCUCAACGGAUAAAAGCUACCCUGGGGAUAACAGGCUUAUCUCCCCCAAGAGUUCACAUCGACGGGGAGGUUUGGCACCUCGAUGUCGGCUCGUCGCAUCCUGGGGCUGUAGUCGGUCCCAAGGGUUGGGCUGUUCGCCCAUUAAAGCGGCACGCGAGCUGGGUUCAGAACGUCGUGAGACAGUUCGGUCCCUAUCCGUCGCGGGCGUAGGAAAUUUGAGAGGAUCUGCUCCUAGUACGAGAGGACCAGAGUGGACUUACCGCUGGUGUACCAGUUGUCUUGCCAAAGGCAUCGCUGGGUAGCUAUGUAGGGAAGGGAUAAACGCUGAAAGCAUCUAAGUGUGAAACCCACCUCAAGAUGAGAUUUCCCAUGAUUAUAUAUCAGUAAGAGCCCUGAGAGAUGAUCAGGUAGAUAGGUUAGAAGUGGAAGUGUGGCGACACAUGUAGCGGACUAAUACUAAUAGCUCGAGGACUUAUCCAA